This is a non-coding RNA of Anas platyrhynchos (mallard), 10600 nucleotides long. The record is from RefSeq and is a predicted model, not a curated record. Lineage: Eukaryota; Metazoa; Chordata; Aves; Anseriformes; Anatidae.
UGAUGGCUACCUUUUGAAGACCCUGACGGCGAUUAAGGGAUGCACUAUGAUUACAUUUCCAAGCCUCCACUACUCACAUAUCCCACUAGAAAGUUAAUGGGAGAGAGAUGUGUUUUAACUGCUAUGAACCACUUUGGAGAAAUUUAAGUGUAAGUGCAUUAAGACAUGAUUUAUUUUCACCACUGAGCCUUGAAAUUUCUUCCAGGGGGAUCCCAGCAUGCUUGUAUGUCUUGGCUCCACGGGCUAUGGGGACGCUGAGAGAUUGAGCUAUCAUGGGCAGUUCUGAUUUGUGGGGUUCCUCGAGGCAGGCAGCUUCCUGAUGGGUGUGAUUUUUGUUUUUGGUUUGUUUUGUUCAUUGCAAAAUUCUUUGGCAUGACGCCUUUCACCUUGUCUCCAAGUGAAUGUUUUUCCUCUGCGUCCCACUCAGUGACUCAGGUCAAAGGCAUCUUAUUUAGCACAGUAUGUUUCUUGCUUUUUGCUUUUGCCAGAUGUGCGUGAGCUCUAGGAAGAAAACUGGAGUGGAGGCAAGUGUAAUGAGUGGCUUUGGUGCUCUGCUGGAAGGGGAAAGGAGACAAGGCUUCGAUGUAAUGCUGCAGAGCUGGGCUGGAGAGCAGAGACCUAUCCGUAACCCGUAGCUCACCAGGGUCUGCAGGGCUGAGACUGAGAAGUGCUGCAUCAAAGGAGCUGAGCACUGAAGUCACGGCUGAGAAGGAAAUGAGGGUCUAAAGUCCCAAACUGGAAACUUCCCAGGGCUCCCUACCUACCUCCCACCCGACGCUGUGAGUACCUCUUCUCAUUCUGGUUGAUCCUGGAGCCCUUAAGGUAGCUGGAGGUUCUACCUCUGCCUUGGUCUUAGCAGCCUGGAGUUUAUCUAAUGACAGGGGCUGAUCAGGACAAAGAAAUCAAAUGUGUGCACGUCUCUGCUCAGCUGGUCAGCCUCCCCAAUGUAAGCUUAUGGGAUGAAACCUCCUUGGAAAAUCCAGCUGUGGUUCUGUCCCUUGGCCACGGAGCUGCAGGACACGAUGUCCUGACUCUCCUCCUGCUAAGGCUUGUGUUGAAACACUUGCCCAAGAGAAUAAGCAGCCUGGCCCGCUUCCCUUUUGUUACACAGCCUGAAAGAUCCCCGCCACAACUCCACCUCUGAAACAAGGCCACUGUGCAAAAAGGCAAGACUGAUGGGCAAGGAAAGCAAUGAGUGGCACAAGGGUCAGCUGCAGUGCUCGCUGCUUGUACCUGGGGACUUUGUCUCUCCCUGUGCACGGCAGGGGUGCUGGCCACUGGGUCAGGAUUUCCCUUGGGAGAGCCCAGCACCAUCCACGUCUCCCUGCAGGGACUCACUGGGCUCAAGCCACAUCAGAUUUCCAGCUUGGACUCUCCACAGCCAAAGCGAACCAAACCCUUCAAUACUUUUGACCACCCUCGGAUACUGUGAUGAUGAGCCCAGAAAUGCUUGGAUUAUUAUUAUUAUUAGCUGCUAAUAACCAUGGAGGUACGCCAGCAUUGGGAACAGCUCGUGCUGUCAUCAGAACAUGGGGGAAAUGGCUGGCUGAGCAGUCAUACGCCUUCAUGUAGAUGUUUCUCUGCUGAUGUGCUCAAAAUGGUGGAUGCUCUCACGUGGCUCCUACUUAUUUCUGAUCCAGCACUUGAAGUCCUGGCCCACGUGCAAGUCAAGCUGGCUUUAUCCAAUUUACUCUUUCCUAUAUGUCAGGCAACGCCUUAGUCUGAAGUGAGAAGGAAUUUGCCUCUGGUAUGCUGAGAAUAUGGAUUUCUGACGAUUCCUUGCUAAAAUGUUUCUGACUGAGGCUCUGGCCUCUUGCUUCCUGGGGUACAUGCCUCACUUUGCACUGACUUGCAGAGAAAAAUAUGUGAUGGCAGUUUGAAGGAUUUGCAUUGUGCUUUCCAUCCUGCUACCAAGCCAGAUGCUUUUCCCCUAGGCAGAUCUCUCUCUCUCUCAAUCUCUCUCUUUUUUUUUUUUUUUUUUUUUUUUUUUGCCUCCCCAAGUUAAGACUUUUAAAUGAAUUCCUACUGGUAGUUUCCUCCCUUCUUUUGUGUUGUGCAAGGAGCUGGCACUGGGCUCAGGACUUGUAAUCCACAGAUGGUCUGAUGGCUCUAUGAAGUAACAGGGAGAAGGAAAGGCAGGGGGAAUUUCUGUGUAUUUGAGAGGAACAAGGAUCUGCCCGAGCAGUGUACGAUGUUGAAGCACAUCUGCUUUUGUCUACAGCGAAAAAUCUGGCAUCUGUUCUUAUUGAGACCCCAAGGCUCCCUCACUGCAGAGGUAAGAGAUGAGGGCUGCUGAAGGCUGGCCACUACAGCUGACUGCUCCCUGUGGACUACAGAAGGUGGCUCGGCACCUGCCUCACUCUAAUGGUUAAAGCUAAGUGGGUGAGUGCUCUAAGUGGUGUUUCUGAGGUCAGGCAACAAGUCUGCACUCACACCUGCUGUUAGAGAUCGCUUGUUCCAGCUGAGAAUAGCUUCAGCCAGUUCGACCUCUCCAAAGCAGAGUUAAUGUGCUCCUUGUCCUCAUCAUCAGUGCUUCCACCACCAGGAAUGGAAGGGGAGGAAAAUGGAGCCGAGAUCGUGUAGCAUGGUCAUAACAGGAAAAAUGACUGAAACCGCAUCCAUUUCUGUCUCGCCUGUGACUUCUCAGCUGUCUGCGAGUAACUGGAGUGCUGCUGGGAAUAGCAGGAAUCUGACUGCCAUCUCUGCUGUUCUCUGUCAAGAUCAGGCAGCUCUGAAAGAAAUUAGAAAUGGAUGUUAUUGUGUUUGUUUCAUCUUGCUGCCAUAAGAGGCUGUUCCUCCCCUAUGUCCCGGCUCCUGGCUGUCAGAGGGCCGGCUGCCAUCUCGCUGCUUGUCUGGUGUCUCGUUGCAGUUCAGCUUUGUAUAGCUGGGAAGAAGAGGAGGGAGGAAGCAGCCCCUUUAGUGACACCUCCAUAAUGACAGGGGCAAUAUAAUCUAAGAGAGGCAAAACAUUAAGAAGUCUAUUACGUGAGAAGUGUAUGACAUGAUUACUGUAGUUCUUGUUACUUAGCCAUAAGGAGCUCUAGACAUUGCAUGCGUUUUGAUUAUAACUGCUACAGAUGUUCAUAACCUGCAAAACUGACCUUUUUGCAACUCUUUGACCUUUAACACAUGCUUAGUGAUGCAAUCUUGGCAGCACCUUGAUUUUCUUAGCAUUUGGAUGCCAUAAAAUUACAGAGCAUCCCAGGCAUCUCAAGAAAGUGUGUAUCUUAAUUUAUUCCAGCCUGGAGAAUAUUCUUAGAUUGCUUUGCUAAUCAGCCCUUCAAAAGAUGUGUAUCCUCCAUGCUCCCCACCAAUUCUAAUCCUUGGCUUGGUUAAGGAUGCUUGUACGUUAUUCAAUUACAUCAGUAUUCUUUAUCUUUUGGUGGAUGGUGAUAAUGACUUUGCAAACCAUUUAAUUCUAAUAUUUCUCACAUGAAAAAAGUCUCUGAAGUCUGGAAAUAGUCUCGUUGGUGUUUUCUUAGUGUUUAAAAAUAAGCCCAAAUGAUUAUCUGUCCUGCAGACAUCAUUGCCUCAUGCUGCUUCUCCCGUGUGUUUCUCCCAUGUGUCCUUCCCUCCACCUGUGUGUUUGUUGUUAAUCUUUGGCUUUCCUUCCACUUUCUAACCUCAGAGUGAAAGCCCUGCAUAAGCUGUGAAUACCAAGCCCUGCUUACAUGCCUCUCAGCUCCUCAUCUCCUUUCCUCCCUACUAUCUCCAACUGUUUUUACAUGACGAGUGGGAAUCUGGGCAGAGACACCCAGACUGCACCCAACAUCUUGGCUCAGGAAAGGUGCAGAAGUUUAAAUGAGGCUCAAAUUUUGCAUUCUUACCCGUUCAGGUUAGAGUUGUUUGGGGAACUAAAAGCAAGAUCUUGAUGGCUUCAUACAUAACCUGUGAAUUUAUUAUAGUUAAAAGUAUCCAGGGUACUGAUCUGAUUAAGUUGUCAGGACACAGCAAAACAGGGAAAGCUCCUCCAUUGAAGAGCUAGAUGAAUGAAUUCCUUCCAUUUAAUAAAAUUUCCUAUUGGCAUUUGUGUGGUGUCAACUGAGUAACCUAUACUGGUACAGGUGGGACCCUCCUGUCACCCUGUGGUACGUAAACCUCCAGAAAUCAGAAACUAAAGUGCCUCCAAGCUGAAUGUCUUGAGAAGUCAGACCUUGGAAACUGGGCUUGUUCCCUUGGGCACUUUCCUUUGCUACCAGAAGUGACUCCGUGUUGCUGGGUCAUAUCCUAAGUUCUUCUCUGCCCCCCUACAUGUGUUACCCUGACAGGUCACCAAACAAACAGGAAUUUAGCCUUUUUUUUAAUCUCAACCUACAGUUGUGAGGGCUUCAGGCAAGGUCACAGACAAAGAACUGAGGAAGGAUUUUGCUGUUGAGGAUCAGGUUGUGGUUGCUAUCUUGACUAAAUUAAACUAAUCACUGUGCAUGACGAGUUUAUGUAAAAUUAAUGCUCUCAGUGCUUUAUUGAGUGUUUUCAUUGUUUCAGACCCUUUUCUGCGUGUUAUCUUAGAAGUGCUUUACAUCCCUGACUUUAUCUACCUUCCUACAAUGGUUGAUGUGGCAUUUGAGUGAUGGGAUCUUUGCACCAGUCUUCUGCUUUGGGAAAUACAUCAGACCAACCCCAUGAACAGACCAGAGGCUGAUGACAUUGCUUUGCCCAGAGGCUGCUGCAGUGGAGGAAGUCUAAUCUCAGGCCUCAGCAGUCUUUAGAUCAAUUCUUCUUCCAAGAAGACCAUGUCAACAUACUGCUAUUUGCUGCAGAGCUAGCAGGAAUCCCAUGGCUUCUCGUUCAGAGGGCUCUCAUGGGUCCAUCUCCUCUCCCCUGCUUCUCUUGGCCUACCAGGUGGGAUCCAACCCAUAACCUGUGUGAUCACAGCAGACACCAAACACUAAUGUAAGGGCAGAAUGAUUCUUUUUUGUUGUUUGUUUAUUUUGAGCAUUGCUUUAAGCACAAUGUUGGCCAAAAUAGAACUGAUGGUAGAAGAGCAAAGAGCUUAUGCCUCUCCAUGUGAAAUGUUACUUCGAUUUCCAGCUACUCCCUGCCCAGGGAAAUAUUUUUUUUUUGCACGUGGUGCAGCCACAGUGUGGCUGUGCAUAGCUCCAUUAUUAUCAAGAUGGAUUUAUUACUGCUGAGAAAUCUUUCUCCUAUCUCAUUUCCUGUCCUCCCCCUCCCAAAGUUCACUCUCCCCACCAAAGUGUGGAAGGAUUCUGCUUGAAAUCCAUCAAAUAGCAAGACAUAAAACCUCAACAUCUAUAAAUUUGGCAGACUGGUUGGCUGUUGCUUGCUUUAACUCCCAGUCUAGGCUUGGCAUGGUGGACAGAAAUGCCUGGUGCAUCUCCAGAAAUGCCUGGAGAUAUUUAGUCUUUUGGGGGCCAGCUAUGGAGAGGCUCCACUCCUUGCAUGCAAACCAGUUGCCAGGGAAAAUGGAAGCCUUCAUGUGAGGUCCAUUGGCCUCAGUCAUAUCACAUCUCUGAGAGGAGGUGGGAAAGGAAAAAUGUUCAGCCAGAAGGAAGGGAAGCAGAGUUGCUGCAAAUCCCUCCUCUGACUUCUUUGCUCAGAUGCCCACGUGAGGUGAUUCAGCUGCUUGCCUGAGGUCUACUAGUAGAGGACAAUACCAGAAAUAGAGGAAUUUUGAAGAAAUAUUAAAGGUUAUGGAAGUAAUGCCUUAAGACACCCCGUAGACAGCAAGAGCCACCUGGUUAUGCUAGGAAAGGGGCUCUCCAUCUCCUACCAUGGCCAUGCCUGAAUGGUGCAAGUAUCUGGCUAUCGCUUCCCUUGAGGACACCUAGAAGGCACACGUUUUUGGGAUCCUGGCAGCCUGCCUUGAAAGCUGGGAGAGGUCCAAAAGACUGCUCUGCCUUCAAGCCAGCUGGGACAUGUCUCACAGGUGAGAUGAAUUUGUUCCUAACCACUAUGGUGGAGAGAAACAAAAGUACUCUAGAAACCCACAACACCGAAAGAACAAUUACAUUUCCAUCCCAAGCACCCUGGCACAGGGUUUGUGGCUGGGGUCAGGCAAACGACAGCUACACAGGGUUAAUGCUCCUGGGAGAGCUCUGGGCUGUCGUCUCAAGAAGGUUUUCUUCGAGUCUGCGCAGUUCUCUGUGCCCUGGUUACGCUCUGUUACGUUUUCAAACCUUCCCAGCUAGCAGCAGUAUUUUUGGAACAGCAUCCGUGAAAUUAUGGUCUUGCUUCACUGCACACACUUGGACGAUAGCUGGUUAUGGUUGCAUCUCAUCCCUAGCUCUUUAAAUCCAGUGCCCUGCAUUUAAGUGCAUUUCAUUUAUUAAAAUUUCAUGAUACAUAACCCUUUCCUUUAAAAAAAAUCUUUUUUUUUUUCUUCUGAAGACCUGCUCUGCGGUUUAGUCUUUUUUUUUUUUUAUAAUUGUAAUUCAGCAUUUCAACUAAUUCUCUUUUUAAAAGUAAUAUGUGCUAGUUAUUUAUGUGUGUACAGACCAGAUUUGUGUGGGCUCGAUGCUGACUGGCUGCAUGUGUGUUUACAAUAGCCCUUGUGUUAUCCCAGACGGCAGCCUAAAAACACUUCCAAAUUAUUCCACAUCAGAAGCAAAGAGGGUUUGGAUAGACUCCUAGGGGAAAGUCUUGAAGUGUUGCCCAAACCUCAGUCCCAGUGCUGUAAGUCAGGCACGUGGCUGAUAUUUUAUCCACCCAACUUGGACUUUUGCAAGCUGUUUCGUAUGUGGAGGGAACAGGAACUUGGGAGCAAUUUUAAUCAGCGAUUUCUUGGAGAUGGGCUUCCCCCUUUCCUUUGUCCUCUUUCCUCUUGACACAUGUGCGUGCACUCCGUCUGUCCAUGUUUUCUCAGAAAUGGUGGAAAGAAUGUGCACGUAAGCACAAUGGUGAGGCUGUUCUGUAACAACCCCCCGCAGCGGGUAGGGACUGACCUGGUUCCAAUUUAUGCCUUUGGAGUGUUGCUGAUUUUAUGCGUAAAACGCUUGAAUGGCUGUAGGUGGAUGUGCGCUAGGGAUUUCAAGUUCAACUCUGCCAUUAAGGCUUGGUGUUUGUUGCUAAUUUCGCUGUGGGCUGGAAAGUUCAAACCUGAAUGGUGCUGUAAUCACAAGCUGGUAAUGCUCCAGAAAGUGUCCCAGGCUUUGUCCUCCUAAGUGUCACAGUGGUGAUGAUCAAAGCUUUUAGACUGCAACUUCUGUGAAGGGGAAGCGAAGUUUCUGAAGAACUGCUGCUCCUCGGGGGCCUCAGCCCUUGGGCAGGGAUCUCCUGGCUGCCCUGGGACUGGGCAGUGCUGGAUUUUCCAGGUCCGAACUUCCAUGCUAAUGCCCUAGGAUGUGGUGUCCGGAUACCAGAUGCUUCCCAGACAAACUGAGCUCUGCAGCCUGGGGAAAUCCCAGGAACGGGAGUUACCAGCUCUGUAGCUGUCUCUCUCUGCAGGUCAGCAGUGGCCAAGAAUGCUGGGGGUGUGUGUGAUCCUACAUCGUUUGGACAAAACCAAAACCAAAGCAAAAAAACACACAUGCAAAACCAAAAACCAGUGUCUUGGUGUCUCAAAACCAAAGUCCUACGGUGAGAUUUCAGUUCUAGAAAUAUCCACGUUCUCUGCAUUUAAACUGAACUAAAGGUGACAUUGUUUUCCAAAACUGUUGUCAUUAUUGUGGCUUGGAAACUCUGUGCCUGAGCCAGCUCUGAUUGUGCUCUCCGAGUUACUCAAGGAAUGGCACACUUUGCUAUUGUAAAGAGUAAAUAUUGCUUUUUAAAAUGUAAUUUGAAUCCUGUACACGCAUUGAUUUAGGAAUGCAAAAUGGUUUUAUUACUAUCUCAUCUCAAAACCUUUUCCUUGACUGUCUGUUACUCUGAGUUGCAAAAUGCAUUACAGAAACACAUCUGUCAUGCUUUAUAACGUGAGAUAAGACAUGCUAUGAUUGUGCUCUCUCUAUCCCUCCUCCCCAGAGCAAUGCAGAAAUCAUAUAUAUAAUGUCAAGCCUGAAGUCAGGUGCAUCGCUCUUUACCCAUCUGAGUAUUGGCUGAAGUAUUGAAGAAGGGCGUGCUUUGGACCAAGAGGAGUCUUUCUUACAGAAACUGCAGAAAUUUGAAAUUAUUGAUAAUGAGAUUUCUGGACAACUUCAUUUGAAAUGCUGAUACUUGACAGACGUGAACAAUAUGGGUAAGGCUGACAACUUGCUUGCAGAUGCUUAGUUAGAAAUUAAUUGUGAUUCUUGGAAGGGACUUAUUUAUCCCUCCUUCUUUCUGGUUCCCUCCACCAACACACUGUAUUGUCAGUGCUGAUGGAAAUCCAACAAACAUUAUAUCAAAGCCUCCUUCUUCUUCCCCGUGACAUUGAUGCUGGUAUAAGUCUGCUCCUGGCCCAUCCCAGCCUGCUGUGUGUGCUGCUGCUGGCCCUUGCUCGGUGGAGAUGCCCAGGCUUCCUUCUGAAAGCGCUGCCACACAAAACCCAAAAAGCGUGCGGGUCCUAUAACUUCCUUGGAGUCAGCCAGCCUUGCAUUUUCUGCAGCAAGCUAAUGCCACGCUGGUUUAAAAGCUGCAAUGCUGGAAGGCAAACAAAGGAGAGGAUUAGACCAAACUAGCUCCAGAGCACACAUCGCACAUACUAAUGUCGUGCUGAAACAGGAGAAGGCUGCAAAAACACUGCCCGUGCUUCACUGCUUUCCGAAACCCUGCCUCCUUUUGCCCAUCAGAUAGGGUGUAUUCCGCAUUGCUAAAGGAACCAAGCUAAUGAGAUUAUAGCUUAUCGCUUUGGAAAAUAAAACUGUACCACUGGAAGGAUACAGCUUGUAUAGGAAUGGUGCUCAGCCAUCUGUGUGAUCACUGGACUCUCCUCCUGAGAUUGUUUAGGGGAAAGCACUCAGCCUUGCCAGUGUUCCCACAUAGACGGGUCUGCAUCUCCAAGCAACAGCCCCGAGCCACUUGACAGCCUGAAUUUCAUCUCAGCCAGGAGACGGCAGAAGAAAAGUCAGCCUUGGUCUCAGAUGAAGCACGUGGGAUUUCUCAGCACAUCUGAGGUUUCCGUGGUUUAUCAGUGCCAUCCCUCCUGCAAACACCACUGUCCUGCUUCAGGUCUGCACUGGGAGCUACGGGAUGGCAGUAGGAUUUGAGGAUAAAAUGGUGGGGAGGGGCUGAAACCAGGUCUCAGCUGGUGCAAAGCCCCGGAGCACCUUCCCUGCCCUGGCUGGGGAUCUGUCUGCAGGUGCCCACAUUGGUUUGACCUGCUGCAAAUGAAACCUGUGUCCCGAGGACUGACUUUUGCCCCUGCAGACACCCGUCCCACACCCCCAGUAAUGAAUGGGAGGCUGCAGAGCGCCUGUCAGGGCAGAACUUGCCCUUCAAUGUCAAUAACUUCUCCGACGGCCUAUUUACGCUUUCAUCUCCCGGCCCUUACUGCUGAUUUAUGCAGCUUGCGGAGCUGAGCGAUGUGGCAGCUGCAGGGAGGAGGAGAUGAGAACCAGAAACCCCGCAGGCUUCCUAGGAGCCGUGUUCCCCAGCAAUAAAUCUCCGACGGAGGAAAGCCCGCUCUGAUCCCCCGUGCGUGCUCCCCUGUGCUGCUCCUGCCACGGGGACGGGACCCAGCACCCAGAUGCCGCUCUCCAAAAAGAGACGUGCCUCUUUGUUCCUCUCCUCCCCGGCUUUCCAGCGGGCUGGAGCCAACAACUGUUGGCUGGAAGACGCCGUCGGCUCACCCGUCUCCUGCCGCAUUCAGCUGUCAGCAGCUCCCACCAAGAGGCAUUCUCCCUCCGUCACGCAUGAGCACGCGCGUGUAGAGCUCCCCAGGCACGGGCUGGAGCGCGUGGGGAUCACAAAGGAGAGGAGACCACAAAGAAAUGCCAUCUCUGCCAAGCCAGAGAUUCGGGGUACAAAUUGCUGCCGCUGGAGAUGUGCUUCGCCCCACGGAGCUCGUGGAGCUGGGCUGCGAAUCUCACCCUGGGGGCUCCGGGAUGUCUCCAGCACCACCGUGGGAUGCAGGAGAUGUUUGCUCCUUAUGUUGUGUGAGCGAGGGUGGUGGAAGCGGUGGGCAGGAUGAGGUUAGGUGAUUGCUGUCCCUAAAAGUGUGCUGCCUGUCACCUGAACCCGCUGUCACCCUCCUGGUGGUCCCUGGUGGAUCACAGGGUGGUGGGAUGGAGCCCAUCUCGCCAUCUCCUCCCAGGACACUUUGGAACAGGGAUGAGGUGCCUCAUACACAUCUAUUUUCAUUAUUUAAAUGAAACGGGAGGGCAGCAAUAAUGUCCUUUAAUGGGGAAACACACCGAUGGAGCACAGCAGAACUAACACCAAACACACCACUUGUUGCUGUGACCGUUCCCUUUCCCAUUCUCCUGAAUUACCUACCGAGCAUUUCCUAAAUUUGCUUGCAUGCUAAAAUAACCGAGUAAUGAACUUUUUUUUUUUUUUUUUUUUCAAGGAAAUGUAUUUUUCUCUAAACUGGAAGGCCUUCUCCCAUUUGUGGUUUUCUUUAUCAGAUUACCAAUUUGCUUUCCCAAAGGGAUUACAAGCUGUAUACCAGGAUCUCUAUGCAGGGGAGCAGAUAAACAAAUGAAACAUGCAAAUUGCUUGAAUUUUCAGUGGGUUAAAAUAAGCUGUAGUGAACAAAAAAAAAAUAAUAAAAUAUAUAUGUAUA